RNAcentral lists this unclassified non-coding RNA (282 nucleotides) under uncultured fungus. RNAcentral's name for it is "partial contains small subunit ribosomal RNA, internal transcribed spacer 1, and 5.8S ribosomal RNA". The stretch from base 1 to 73 matches the Rfam family "Eukaryotic small subunit ribosomal RNA", at positions 1759 to 1831 of the family's 1831-position model. Lineage: Eukaryota; Fungi. The record is from RNAcentral.
CCAAACUUGGUCAUUUAGAGGAAGUAAAAGUCGUAACAAGGUUUCCGUAGGUGAACCUGCGGAAGGAUCAUUUUUGAAUCUGGUCUCAGCGCUUAGCUGCGCGGGACUAAACCUUCACACUUGUUUAUUGUAUUACUUUCAGUCGAGCGUGAGCUCGGCUGUAACACAUAACUCUAAGAUUUAAUCUUAACUCAACCCUAGUCAUGAAAUUUUACUUAAAAUAAAAUAUUCAAAACUUUCAACAACGGAUCUCUUGGUUCUCGCAUCGAUGAAGAACGCAGC